UCUCCUACGGGGGGCAGCAGUGAGGAAUAUUGGUCAAUGGGCGAUAGCCUGAACCAGCCAAGUCGCGUGAGGGAAGACGGCCCUAUGGGUUGUAAACCUCUUUUGUCGGGGAGCAAGGUCGCUACGUGUAGUGAUUUGAGAGUACCCGAAGAAAAAGCAUCGGCUAACUCCGUGCCAGCAGCCGCGGUAAUACGGAGGAUGCGAGCGUUAUCCGGAUUUAUUGGGUUUAAAGGGUGCGUAGGCGGGAGAUCAAGUCAGCGGUAAAA
RNAcentral lists this ribosomal RNA (266 nucleotides) under uncultured bacterium. RNAcentral describes it as "partial 16S ribosomal RNA". It matches the Rfam family "Bacterial small subunit ribosomal RNA", at positions 335 to 599 of the family's 1533-position model. The record is from RNAcentral.